RNAcentral lists this ribosomal RNA (226 nucleotides) under Deltaproteobacteria bacterium. RNAcentral's name for it is "partial 16S ribosomal RNA". It matches the Rfam family "Bacterial small subunit ribosomal RNA", at positions 1155 to 1379 of the family's 1533-position model. The record is from RNAcentral. Lineage: Bacteria; Pseudomonadati; Myxococcota; Myxococcia.
GUGAUAAACCGGAGGAAGGUGGGGAUGACGUCAAGUCCUCAUGGCCCUUAUGUCCAGGGCUACACACGUGCUACAAUGGCCGGUACAGAGGGCAGCAAUACCGCGAGGUGGAGCGAAUCCCAAAAAGCCGGUCUCAGUUCGGAUUGCAGUCUGCAACUCGACUGCAUGAAGCCGGAAUCGCUAGUAAUCGUGGGUCAGCCAUACCACGGUGAAUACGUUCCCGGGC